This 1028-nucleotide ribosomal RNA is filed under the name Cucurbitariaceae sp. RNAcentral describes it as "SSU rRNA". It matches the Rfam family "Eukaryotic small subunit ribosomal RNA", at positions 72 to 1108 of the family's 1831-position model. Lineage: Eukaryota; Fungi; Ascomycota; Dothideomycetes; Pleosporales; Cucurbitariaceae. The record is from RNAcentral.
CAUUAUACCGUGAAACUGCGAAUGGCUCAUUAAAUCAGUUAUCGUUUAUUUGAUAGUACCUUACUACUUGGAUACCCGUGGUAAUUCUAGAGCUAAUACAUGCUAAAAACCCCGACUUUUGGAGGGGUGUAUUUAUUAGAUAAAAAACCAAUGCCCUUCCGGGCUCUUUGGUGAUUCAUAAUAACUUAACAGAUCGCAUGGCCUUGCGCCGGCGACGGUUCAUUCAAAUUUCUGCCCUAUCAACUUUCGAUGGUAAGGUAUUGGCUUACCAUGGUUUCAACGGGUAACGGGGAAUUAGGGUUCGAUUCCGGAGAGGGAGCCUGAGAAACGGCUACCACAUCCAAGGAAGGCAGCAGGCGCGCAAAUUACCCAAUCCCGACACGGGGAGGUAGUGACAAUAAAUACUGAUACAGGGCUCUUUUGGGUCUUGUAAUCGGAAUGAGUACAAUUUAAACCUCUUAACGAGGAACAAUUGGAGGGCAAGUCUGGUGCCAGCAGCCGCGGUAAUUCCAGCUCCAAUAGCGUAUAUUAAAGUUGUUGCAGUUAAAAAGCUCGUAGUUGAAUCUUGGGCCUGGCUGGCCGGUCCGCCUCACCGCGUGCACUGGUCCGGCCGGGCCUUUCCUUCUGGAGAGCCCCAUGCCCUUCACUGGGUGUGCGGGGGAACCAGGACUUUUACUUUGAAAAAAUUAGAGUGUUCAAAGCAGGCCUUUGCUCGGAUACGUUAGCAUGGAAUAAUAGAAUAGGACGUGCGAUCCUAUUUUGUUGGUUUUUAGGACCGCCGUAAUGAUUAAUAGGGACAGUCGGGGGCAUCAGUAUUCAAUUGUCAGAGGUGAAAUUCUUGGAUUUAUUGAAGACUAACUACUGCGAAAGCAUUUGCCAAGGAUGUUUUCAUUAAUCAGUGAACGAAAGUUAGGGGAUCGAAGACGAUCAGAUACCGUCGUAGUCUUAACCGUAAACUAUGCCGACUAGGGAUCGGGCGAUGUUCCUUUGUUGACUCGCUCGGCACCUUUCGAGAAAUCAAAGUUUUU